GGAUUAAGAGCUUGCUCUUAUGAAGUUAGCGGCGGACGGGUGAGUAACACGUGGGUAACCUGCCCAUAAGACUGGGAUAACUCCGGGAAACCGGGGCUAAUACCGGAUAACAUUUUGAACCGCAUGGUUCGAAAUUGAAAGGCGGCUUCGGCUGUCACUUAUGGAUGGACCCGCGUCGCAUUAGCUAGUUGGUGAGGUAACGGCUCACCAAGGCAACGAUGCGUAGCCGACCUGAGAGGGUGAUCGGCCACACUGGGACUGAGACACGGCCCAGACUCCUACGGGAGGCAGCAGUAGGGAAUCUUCCGCAAUGGACGAAAGUCUGACGGAGCAACGCCGCGUGAGUGAUGAAGGCUUUCGGGUCGUAAAACUCUGUUGUUAGGGAAGAACAAGUGCUAGUUGAAUAAGCUGGCACCUUGACGGUACCUAACCAGAAAGCCACGGCUAACUACGUGCCAGCAGCCGCGGUAAUACGUAGGUGGCAAGCGUUAUCCGGAAUUAUUGGGCGUAAAGCGCGCGCAGGUGGUUUCUUAAGUCUGAUGUGAAAGCCCACGGCUCAACCGUGGAGGGUCAUUGGAAACUGGGAGACUUGAGUGCAGAAGAGGAAAGUGGAAUUCCAUGUGUAGCGUGAAAUGCGUAGAGAUAUGGAGGAACACCAGUGGCGAAGGCGACUUUCUGGUCUGUAACUGACACUGAGGCGCGAAAGCGUGGGGA
This 714-nucleotide ribosomal RNA is filed under the name Bacillus sp. (in: firmicutes). RNAcentral describes it as "bacterial SSU rRNA". It matches the Rfam family "Bacterial small subunit ribosomal RNA", at positions 69 to 767 of the family's 1533-position model. Lineage: Bacteria; Bacillati; Bacillota; Bacilli; Caryophanales; Bacillaceae. The record is from RNAcentral.